Triticum dicoccoides is the source of this 865-nucleotide long non-coding RNA. RefSeq lists it as uncharacterized. The record is from RefSeq and is a predicted model, not a curated record. Lineage: Eukaryota; Viridiplantae; Streptophyta; Magnoliopsida; Poales; Poaceae. The transcript has 3 exons.
UUUUUACUCGUAUGGACCAAAUCAUCAAUGUUAAAAUUCUGAUGUCCACCUAAAAGUAACUGUAUGAAGCAAUCAUGAACUAGCCCAGUAAAUAGAUGCCUAUGAAUGCAAGCUUCUAAAUUCCAAUUGGUGUGAGCAGGUGCUUGUGCAGCCAAUAAUGGUUAUUCGCUCAGAAUUGUCGAUUGCUGCUGACCACUUCUCAGAUUUCUAUUAACCCGAGGACCAGAACAAGCAGGUUCAUGUGAAAGUAUAUAGUUUCUAUUUGAAGAGUUAGCUUCAGACAACAUACAAUCUAUGCAAAAUCCAUCAUCUCAUGCUUGCAUAACAAGACCAAUGGUCUCUGCUUGCUCAGUCCUCUUGCCGCGACACCAUCACCAAGUCACUUAGAGCCCACCACCGCCACAAACACCCCAUGUUGUCACGCGUGACGGCCGCAGCAUCACAACUUUAUGAGAAGUGAACUAUGAAAUCCCUCCUCAUUCCAAACAAUGAAACUAUGAGGCUGAAAGUACAAAUGUCAUACGACAUGGCUGACUUAGAGAAAAAAAUGGGCGUAUUUGGAGCCGGAUGAAAACAUGGGCAGAUUUGGAGCAGUGUGAAGACGGCGCACGCUGGUGUUGCAAUGACCAAAAGUGCCGAAGUGAAAAAAGAGAUGGAAUGACAAUGACGCAACCUUGUAGUGUGAUUCUUGUAUGUAUAUUUGAGGUCGGUAGGAAAAAACGUAUUAGUGAGAUAAAGUGACGAAGAUAUGCAUCUUAGGUGGAGAUGGAAGCAGAUCCCAGAGAUAAACAAAACAUUAUUAGUUUGUGAAUGAACUUGUGGUGGAAAGAAUGUUUUCAUGUUCAUAUGCCACAUUUUCUUACUA